This 592-nucleotide ribosomal RNA is filed under the name uncultured bacterium. Its description in RNAcentral is "bacterial SSU rRNA". It matches the Rfam family "Bacterial small subunit ribosomal RNA", at positions 338 to 946 of the family's 1533-position model. The record is from RNAcentral.
CCUACGGGAGGCAGCAGUGGGGAAUCUUGCGCAAUGGGCGAAAGCCUGACGCAGCAACGCCGCGUGCGGGAAGAAGGCUUUCGGGCUGUAAACCGCUUUCAGCAGGAACGAAAAUGACGGUACCUGCAGAAGAAGGAGCGGCCAACUAUGUGCCAGCAGCCGCGGUGAUACAUAGGCUUCAAGCGUUGUCCGGAUUUAUUGGGCGUAAAGAGUUCGUAGGCGGUCGAGUAAGUCGGGUGUGAAAAUUCUGGGCUCAACCCAGAGACGCCACCCGAUACUGCUUAACUUGAGUUCGAUAGGGGAGUGGGGAAUUCCUAGUGUAGCGGUGAAAUGCGCAGAUAUUAGGAGGAACACCGGUGGCGAAGGCGCCACUCUGGAUCGAUACUGACGCUGAGGAACGAAAGCAUGGGUAGCAAACAGGAUUAGAUACCCUGGUAGUCCAUGCCGUAAACGGUGGGCACUAGGUGUGGGAUUCUAUUAACGAAUUCCGNGCCGUCGCUAACGCAUUAAGUGCCCCGCCUGGGGAGUCGGUCGCAAGCUAAACUCAAANAGUAAUGAGNGNGUAGAGUUGCGAGCGACGACGAGGGAGAGG